RNAcentral lists this long non-coding RNA (1519 nucleotides) under Ananas comosus (pineapple). RNAcentral's name for it is "long non-coding RNA (ACOM_LNC027993)". The record is from RNAcentral. Lineage: Eukaryota; Viridiplantae; Streptophyta; Magnoliopsida; Poales; Bromeliaceae.
GAAAUCCACGAGAUUUGUAUAACCACCGGCAUGCUCAAUUAAGGAAUGUGGUUGAGAGGACAUUUGGCAUUUUGAAGAAGCGUUUCAAAAUUCUAAAUGUAGCAACACCGUUUUCGUAUAAAGUUCAAUGCUUGAUUGCUAUGGCAUGUUGUAUAAUACAUAACUUUAUUCGCCGUUACCAAGCAAAUGAUAACAUUUUUUCUGAUGAGGGUCCAGAUGAACAGGACGCUGAAAAUGAAGAUGGAGUGGGCGAUUUAGUGGGAGUAAUUGAGGACUCCUAAAAUGGUGAGGAUCUACGUGCUAAUAUUACAAAUCAAUUGUGGAACACUAGAAUAUAAUUUUAUAUAAAUUAGAUAAUUGUAUUGAUAUUUGGUAGAAUUGAGUGUAGUGGUUAUAUUGUUAUUUGACAAUUGUAAGAUGAUGAUGUAUGAGAUGCAUAUGCUUUGUAAUACUUGCUUAUUUAUGCCUGUUAUGGAACAUGUAUUAAUGUUAUAUAUUGUGAUGAUAUUUUCUGCGUUGAAUAUUGGUAGGUAGAUAUGUUGGUAGAUAUUCUUAUUUUUUUACUCUGUUAUAUAUUUGUACUCUUUCAAAAUGUUUUGGUUGUAUAUGUUUUUAUUUUUGAUUCAAUGUGUUGUUAUCUGUGUAAAUGUUCGUUGAUGUGCAGAUUGACUUGAUGUACGUAAAUAUUUUUAAAUUAUUAAUGAUAUUCGAAUAGCAAUGCAAAGUUUGAAAGAUCAGAACAAAUCGGAUUUGAAAACGCCUAAUGAUACUCAACUCCACUAGGGGCUAAAUUUGAAAGGUUGGAAAUUAGUAUUUUUGGAGGGUUAAAAUGAUAUUAUAACUAAAAUAUUAAUUGUAGUUCAGGAAAUACUAUUGUGAGUGAAAUUUAAAAAUAUGACAAUUUUAAUAUUGUUGUUUGAAAAUUUGAGAAAUUUUUCAAAAUUACAAAAGAGUAGUGGAAAAUAAUUUUUGAUAUACAAUUACGCAAAAAUUUAUAUGAUUUUAAUCCUCAUAAUAAUUUGCAAGCAUAGAAUUUUUAAAACAAUAAAUAAAAUAUUUAUUUUAAAUGAUUACAGUGAUGCUAUUUUAGUAAUUUUACUUUCUUUAUUAAUCAUUAUCCUUCUUAUCCCACCUACUCCAACCAAUCAUUAUCUUCCUUAUCAAUCAUUAUCUUCUUAUUCCACCUACUCCAACCAAUCAUUAUCCUUCUUUAUCAAUCAUUAUCUUCUUAUCCCACCUACUCCAACCCCACCUACUCCAACCAAUCAUUAUCCUUCUUUAUCAAUCAUUAUCUUCUUAUCCCACCUACUCCAACCAAACACUAUUUUUCAUUAUUCUAGACUAACUCCAACCCCCAACCAAACACAAAAAAACUUUAACCCUACUUUAACCCUGAACUUAACCCUAUCCCUGAAAUAGCUACUUUUUCCUUAACCCCGAACCAAACGGAGGCUCAGGAAUUAGCCAUUCUCUACUUUCGGGUAAUAUCAAAUUCGACCUACCUCAAUACAUAUAGUUA